UCCCUGGUGGUCCAGUGGCUAAGACUCCAGGCUCCCAAUUCAGGGGCCCCAAGUUCAAUCCCUGGUCAGGGAA
Molecule: non-coding RNA, 73 nt
Organism: Ovis aries (sheep)
Lineage: Eukaryota; Metazoa; Chordata; Mammalia; Artiodactyla; Bovidae
Source: Rfam